This 663-nucleotide ribosomal RNA is filed under the name Triticum aestivum (bread wheat). RNAcentral's name for it is "partial small subunit ribosomal RNA". The record is from RNAcentral. Lineage: Eukaryota; Viridiplantae; Streptophyta; Magnoliopsida; Poales; Poaceae.
AUGGAGGUAAAAAGAGUUUACUUGAAGACCAAGCAUGGUUAUACCUUCAACGUCAAAUUAUACAAUGCAGACACAUACACCUAUUUUGAAUGCAAAACUUGGCAAGCACUAUGCAAGGCUUAUGCAUUUGAGCCUGAUAUGGUUAUCACCUUUGAUAUUCGUCCGGAAGAUUAUAUUGAAGGUAAUAGAGACAUUUGGGUCGAUGUGCAGACGCCUCCAAUUUUAACAUUAUCUUAUUUCCAAUCAAGCAAACAUGUCCGGCGCUUGAUAGACAGGACCGUCCACUGUCCCGGGGCUGAACUAAACUGCGAGGAGAUAAGUCAUUAUGUUUCAUGGCUUGAGGAUCUUGAUGCUGUCAAGACAAAAAAUUUUCCUGCACUUAGAAAUGUUAGUACUCAAAACGUGCGACCAAUAGUGUUCAUACUGAACUACAGUCACAUAUAUUUAGGAAAGAUGGGACUCCCGAUGAAUGUUGUACCUGAUUGGAUGGAGACUAAAGGUACCAUGAAUAUUGUUAGCUUACGGCCAAGAUAUCCUAAAAUGCACUUUAGUGCAUUCAGGAUUUCUAAUAGCGAGGAAUGCUUAAUAGUAAAAGACUGGAACAAAAUUGUGAACGAUCGCAGAGAAGUACUAGGGGGCAGCAAUCAGAAGCGCAACCCAUGA